Molecule: non-coding RNA, 111 nt
Organism: Acanthosepion pharaonis
Lineage: Eukaryota; Metazoa; Mollusca; Cephalopoda; Sepiida; Sepiidae
Source: the annotation of a GenBank genome assembly
ACGAUCACAUUACAUUGAAACACCGGUUCUCGUACGAUCAUUGAAGUUAAGCAACGUCGGGCCUGGCUUGUAUCUUGAUGGGUGACCGCAUGUGGAUAGUAGGUGCUGUAA